This 253-nucleotide ribosomal RNA is filed under the name uncultured bacterium. RNAcentral's name for it is "partial 16S ribosomal RNA". It matches the Rfam family "Bacterial small subunit ribosomal RNA", at positions 524 to 776 of the family's 1533-position model. The record is from RNAcentral.
UACAGAGGUGGCAAGCGUUGUUCGGAAUUACUGAGCGUAAAGGGCGCGUAGGCGGCCUUCUAAGUCAGACGUGAAAUCCCCCGGCUUAACCUGGGAACUGCGUCUGAUACUGGAGGGCUUGAGUGCGGGAGAGGGAUGUGGAAUUCCUGGUGUAGCGGUGAAAUGCGCAGAUAUCAGGAGGAACACCAAUGGCGAAGGCAGCUCGCUGGAACGGAACUGACGCUGAGGCGCGAAAGCGUGGGGAGCGAACAGG